UAGGGAAUCUUCNGCAAUGGGGGCAACCCUGACCGAGCAACGCCGCGUGAGUGAAGAAGGUUUUCGGAUCGUAAAGCUCUGUUGUAAGUCAAGAACGAGUGUGAGAGUGGAAAGUUCACACUGUGACGGUAGCUUACCAGAAAGGGACGGCUAACUACGUGCCAGCAGCCGCGGUAAUACGUAGGUCCCGAGCGUUGUCCGGAUUUAUUGGGCGUAAAGCGAGCGCAGGCGGUUUGAUAAGUCUGAAGUUAAAGGCUGUGGCUCAACCAUAGUUCGCUUUGGAAACUGUCAAACUUGAGUGCAGAAGGGGAGAGUGGAAUUCCAUGUGUAGCGGUGAAAUGCGUAGAUAUAUGGAGGAACACCGGUGGCGAAAGCGGCUCUCUGGUCUGUAACUGACGCUGAGGCUCGAAAGCGUGGGGAGCGAACAGGAUUAGAUACCCUGGUAGUCCACGCCGUAAACGAUGAGUGCUAGGUGUUGGAUCCUUUCCGGGAUUCAGUGCCGCAGCUAACGCAUUAAGCACUCCGCCUGGGGAGUACGACCGCAAGGUUG
This 550-nucleotide ribosomal RNA is filed under the name uncultured bacterium. RNAcentral describes it as "bacterial SSU rRNA". It matches the Rfam family "Bacterial small subunit ribosomal RNA", at positions 355 to 896 of the family's 1533-position model. The record is from RNAcentral.